This 465-nucleotide ribosomal RNA is filed under the name uncultured bacterium. Its description in RNAcentral is "partial 16S ribosomal RNA". It matches the Rfam family "Bacterial small subunit ribosomal RNA", at positions 28 to 507 of the family's 1533-position model. The record is from RNAcentral.
GACGAACGCUGGCGGCGUGCUUAACACAUGCAAGUCGAACGGAAAGGCCCUGCUUGCAGGGUACUCGAGUGGCGAACGGGUGAGUAACACGUGGGUGAUCUGCCCUGCACUUCGGGAUAAGCCUGGGAAACUGGGUCUAAUACCGGAUAGGAGCCAUUUUUAGUGUGAUGGUUGGAAAGUUUUUUCGGUGUAGGAUGAGCUCGCGGCCUAUCAGCUUGUUGGUGGGGUAAUGGCCUACCAAGGCGGCGACGGGUAGCCGGCCUGGGAGGGUGGACGGCCACAUUGGGACUGGGAUACGGCCCAGACUCCGACGGGAGGCAGCAGUGGGGAAUGUUGCACAAUGGGCGCAAGCCUGAUGCAGCGACGCCGCGUGGGGGAUGACGGCCUUCGGGUUGUAAACUCCUUUCGCUAGGGACGAAGCUGUUUGUGACGGUACCUAGAUAAGAAGCACCGGCUAACUACGUG